GGCAAUGCAAUGGCGGCACCCGUGCUGCGUUCGGGUUUCCCUGGAAGACGCUGGGCUUUAGCGUGGAUAGACGACUGUUCCCGCCUCCGAAGUGGCUCUCAAAUUGGGCCCAUAUCCAACUGGGCUAGGAGACAGAGUUCAGUGGCUCAGCCUUCCCUCCACACGGCUCAGAAGCCGAGGAAAGGUGAACACAAAUGGGCAGCUGUAGUAGGAUUGGAAAUUCAUGCGCAGAUUUCCUCCAACUCUAAACUCUUCUCUGGAGCUCAAGUAUGCUUUGCAGCACCUCCGAAUUCUUUGGUUUCUUAUUUUGAUGCAUCUCUGCCUGGAACUUUACCGAAAAGCACAGAUUAGAAAGUGGACACACGUAUUUAUCUACACAGCAAGGCAAUGGAAUAACAUGCUGACCUGGCCUUCCAUCUGUCACAAGCAGCUUGACUAAGAUCAUCAUAGAUUCUCUUUUCUUGGCAUUCUUUUAGUGGGUACUCUGUUUACUAGUCCUCUGUGCUGCUGUAGUGCCGUGGCGAUUGAUGGUUAUAAUUCUGACCCUGAAGCACUUCAAGGCUCCUAAAUCAUCAGAAAAAGAUUAAAGUAUAUUCAAUAUCACUCUAA
RNAcentral lists this long non-coding RNA (609 nucleotides) under Rattus norvegicus (Norway rat). RNAcentral describes it as "long non-coding RNA NONRATT015382". The record is from RNAcentral. Lineage: Eukaryota; Metazoa; Chordata; Mammalia; Rodentia; Muridae.